This 216-nucleotide ribosomal RNA is filed under the name uncultured Streptococcaceae bacterium. Its description in RNAcentral is "partial 16S ribosomal RNA". It matches the Rfam family "Bacterial small subunit ribosomal RNA", at positions 124 to 334 of the family's 1533-position model. Lineage: Bacteria; Bacillati; Bacillota; Bacilli; Lactobacillales; Streptococcaceae. The record is from RNAcentral.
ACCUGCCUGGUAGCGGGGGAGUAACUAUUGGAAACGAUAGCUAAUACCGCAUAACAGUAGAUAUUGCAUGAUAUCUGCUUGAAAGGGGCAAUUGCUCCACUACCAGAUGGACCUGCGUUGUAUUAGCUAGUUGGUGAGGUAACGGCUCACCAAGGCGACGAUACAUAGCCGACCUGAGAGGGUGAUCGGCCACACUGGGACUGAGACACGGCCCAG